This is a long non-coding RNA of Alosa alosa (allis shad), 1030 nucleotides long. RefSeq lists it as uncharacterized. Lineage: Eukaryota; Metazoa; Chordata; Actinopteri; Clupeiformes; Clupeidae. The transcript has 6 exons. The record is from RefSeq and is a predicted model, not a curated record.
CACACAGAGAGGUGCACACACACAUACUGUAUCAUUAUCAGUGAUCAUUAUAAACAUACUAAUUAAAAUUACUGUAUUGCACUAUAAGUGAAUCAUGAACCACGUGGUGAAUGAAUGAGCACAGAACCAUGAAUCCGCACAGCCACAUGUUUGUGUUGUGUGUUCCAGUGUGUUGAAGAGCAGUCUGUCAGAGGAGAGUGUGCAGCAGGUCCUCAGCGCCCUCCCCAGGCAGAAGUCUGUGGGUGCAGUUGUGCUCUCAGUGAAGACCAUCACCAUCACCACUGCUGAGAGGCUCCUGCAGUUCUACAAGACCACACAGAUCACAGAGUUUGUGGGGGUGCGCCUACUGGAGGGGGCUGAUACAGCUGAGAGUCUCUGUUCUACUCUCGUGAUGGAGAGGAGGAAGUUUUCUGUCUGGGGAUUGCCCACUCUGGAGAUUCCUCUCCUGAAUCUGAAACCUCUGGACUGGGUCUAGAUCUGCUGUUCCCCUCACAGAUCUCUGACAUCAUACUGAGGGAGAUCCUCCACAGGUUCCAUCAGCUGAGACAUUUCACAGACAAGAGUCAAGAGCAUAAUGAGUGUGUGGAUGCUCUGUUGUCCUGGCUGGCCUCUCUGCCUGAUCUGAAGGGGGUGACUCUGCAGGUGAGCUGCCUGACUGAGAUCUGGGCCACCAGGAUCCUUCAACUCAUCCACACCUGCCCCAGUCUAAAGAGAAUACAGUUUGAAGCCGCUGUCUAUGAUGAGAGUUUUGAGAAGGAAGAAGGUUUGUUGCUGGAGGAGGGGAUCUGCUUACUGAGGCGCCCAGACUGCACCAUCACACUUACAGGAACCACAAGAGCCCCGGAGAUCGUCAGGAAACCCCCUCUGGUCCUUCGGACAAAAGAAGCAUUGCUCAGGAGCCGGUGUUAAGAACAUAAAAUGUGUGUGUGUGUGUGUGUGUGGACAAAAGAAGCAUUGGACAGGAGCCGGUGUUAAGAACAUAAACAUUUAUUCUGAAACUUCCUGAGGGGAGCGGCAACCCAGAGUGUAA